CGAGCGGUAAGGCCCUUCGGGGUACACGAGCGGCGAACGGGUGAGUAACACGUGAGCAACCUGCCCCUGACUCCGGGAUAAGCCGGGGAAACCCGGUCUAAUACCGGAUAGGGACGCCUCGUCGCAUGGCGGGGUGUGGAAAGGUUUUUUCCGGUCAGGGAGGGGCUCGCGGCCUAUCAGCUUGUUGGUGGGGUGAAGGCCUACCAAGGCGAUUACGGGUAGCCGGCCUGAGAGGGCGACCGGCCACACUGGGACUGAGACACGGCCCAGACUCCUACGGGAGGCAGCAGUGGGGAAUAUUGCGCAAUGGGCGGAAGCCUGACGCAGCGACGCCGCGUGGGGGAUGACGGCCUUCGGGUUGUAAACCUCUUUUACCACCGACGCAGGCCCGCGCUUCUGUGCGGGUUGACGGUAGGUGGGGAAUAAGGACCGGCCAACUACGUGCCAGCAGCCGCGGUAAUACGUAGGGUCCGAGCGUUGUCCGGAAUUAUUGGGCGUAAAGAGCUCGUAGGUGGUGUGUCGCGUCUGCUGUGUAAGUCCGGGGCUUAACUCCGGUUUGGCAGUGGAUACGGGCAUGCUAGAGGUAGGCAGGGGAGACUGGAAUUCCUGGUGUAGCGGUGAAAUGCGCAGAUAUCAGGAGGAACACCGGUGGCGAAGGCGGGUCUCUGGGCCUUACCUGACGCUGAGGAGC
RNAcentral lists this ribosomal RNA (691 nucleotides) under Streptomonospora sp. YIM 92418. RNAcentral's name for it is "bacterial SSU rRNA". It matches the Rfam family "Bacterial small subunit ribosomal RNA", at positions 63 to 754 of the family's 1533-position model. Lineage: Bacteria; Bacillati; Actinomycetota; Actinomycetes; Streptosporangiales; Nocardiopsidaceae. The record is from RNAcentral.